RNAcentral lists this ribosomal RNA (253 nucleotides) under uncultured bacterium. RNAcentral's name for it is "partial 16S ribosomal RNA". It matches the Rfam family "Bacterial small subunit ribosomal RNA", at positions 524 to 776 of the family's 1533-position model. The record is from RNAcentral.
UACGUAGGGUGCAAGCGUUAAUCGGAAUUACUGGGCGUAAAGCGUGCGCAGGCGGUUUUGUAAGUCUGACGUGAAAUCCCCGGGCUCAACCUGGGAAUUGCAUUGGAGACUGCAAGGCUUGAAUCUGGCAGAGGGGGGUAGAAUUCCACGUGUAGCAGUGAAAUGCGUAGAGAUGUGGAGGAACACCGAUGGCGAAGGCAGCCCCCUGGGUCAAGAUUGACGCUCAUGCACGAAAGCGUGGGGAGCAAACAGG